RNAcentral lists this long non-coding RNA (1216 nucleotides) under Bos grunniens (domestic yak). RNAcentral describes it as "lncRNA (ENSBGRG00000025839.1)". The record is from RNAcentral. Lineage: Eukaryota; Metazoa; Chordata; Mammalia; Artiodactyla; Bovidae.
GGUAGAAUGAUGCGGGGGAAGGUGUAGGGGGGGCACUUGAACCAGGAUACUGAGGCUUAGGAGGAGAUAGACUUUGGAUAAAAACUUUUUAAAAGUUAAUUUUUAUUGGAGUAUAGUUGCUUCACUCGGGGUUCCUGAAUGGGUCAGACAAUAAGAAAUCUGCCUGCAAUGCAGGAGACACGAGUUUAACCCCUGGGUUGAGAAGAUCCCCUGGAGGAGGGUAUGGCAACCCACUCCAGUAUUCUUGCCUGGAGAAUUCCAUGGGUAGAGGAGUCUGGUGGGCUACAGUCCAUGGGGUUGAAGAGUCAGACAUGACUGAGCAGCUGACACAUGCAUAGUUGCUUUACAGUGUUGUGUUAGUUUCCGCUGUACAGCAAAGUGAAUUAGCUAUAUGUAUACAUGUGGUCCCUAUUUUUUGGGUUUCCUUCCCAUUUAGGUCACCACGGAGCACUGAGUAGAGUUCCCUGUGCUAUACAAUAGGUUCUCAUUAGUUAUCUAUUUUAUACACAGUGACUUUUGAUAAAAACUUUUAACUAUUUUGUUCUUUUUUUUUUUUGCAUAAAUAUAAAAGUGUUCCUGGGACUUCGCUGGUAGGAAGUCCAGUGGCCAAGAAUUUGCGCUCCCAAUGCAGGGCGGCUGGGCUCAAGUCCUGGUUGGGGAACUAGAUCCCACAAGAAGUGACUAAGAGUGCAAAGGCCACAGCUGAAGAGUCCACACGUUGCAAGUAAAGAUUCCAGAUACAACAACUAAAGAUCUUGCAUGCCACAACCAAGACCUGGCAGCCAAACAAAUACAUUAAACAAAUAUUUUAAAGUGUUUCAAAACUUCCAAGAUCUUAGAAGAUGGUGACUGAAAGACUCAAGGAGUGUUGUUCAUUUUAAAGGAUUAAGAAAAAGUCCGAGAACUACAAAAGAUGAAGCAGCCAAAGCUGAAUGAUCUACUACAAUCGUUUGUAAAGCCUGUCCCUGGCCCCAGAGACCCAAGAAGAUUGUAUCUUUCAGGUCAGGAGUCCCAGGCUAUUGUUCCGGCAUAUCCACUCUCAGGGAGAGGAAAGGAGACCCAUGAUUUAUAGCAGUUGCCUUGUGGAAAUGCUGCCAUCACGGAGGAUUUCAAGCACCCACUGAGAUGUCUCUGAACACAGAACUGGGGACAGAUGGGCACACUCAGUUCUUUACUAGGCAUGGGCUGCAGCACGCCAGAGUCCGCGGCCCUUGUU